This 363-nucleotide ribosomal RNA is filed under the name uncultured bacterium. RNAcentral's name for it is "partial 16S ribosomal RNA". It matches the Rfam family "Bacterial small subunit ribosomal RNA", at positions 338 to 698 of the family's 1533-position model. The record is from RNAcentral.
CCUACGGGUGGCAGCAGUGAGGAAUAUUGGUCAAUGGACGCAAGUCUGAACCAGCCAUGCCGCGUGCAGGAAGACGGCUCUAUGAGUUGUAAACUGCUUUUGUACGGGGGUAAACGCAGAUACGCGUAUCUGUCUGAAAGUAUCGUACGAAUACGGAUCGGCGAACUCCGUGCCAGCAGCCGCGGUAAUACGGAGGAUUCAAGCGUUAUCCGGAUUUAUUGGGGUUAAAGGGUACGUAGGCGGUCGGAUAAGUUAGCGGUGAAAUCCCCGGGCUCAACUUCGGCAUUGCCGCUGAUACUGUUCAGCUAGAUGGUAGUUGAGGUAGGCGGAAUGCAUGGUGUAGCGGUGAAAUGCGUAGAGAUC